GAUUAGAUACCCUGGUAGUCCACGCCGUAAACGAUGUCGACUUGGAGGUUGUUCCCUUGAGGAGUGGCUUCCGGAGCUAACGCGUUAAGUCGACCGCCUGGGGAGUACGGCCGCAAGGUUAAAACUCAAAUGAAUUGACGGGGGCCCGCACAAGCGGUGGAGCAUGUGGUUUAAUUCGAUGCAACGCGAAGAACCUUACCUACUCUUGACAUCCAGAGAACUUAGCAGAGAUGCUUUGGUGCCUUCGGGAACUCUGAGACAGGUGCUGCAUGGCUGUCGUCAGCUCGUGUUGUGAAAUGUUGGGUUAAGUCCCGCAACGAGCGCAACCCUUAUCCUUUGUUGCCAGCGGUUAGGCCGGGAACUCAAAGGAGACUGCCAGUGAUAAACUGGAGGAAGGUGGGGAUGACGUCAAGUCAUCAUGGCCCUUACGAGUAGGGCUACACACGUGCUACAAUGGCGCAUACAAAGAGAAGCGACCUCGCGAGAGCAAGCGGACCUCAUAAAGUGCGUCGUAGUCCGGAUUGGAGUCUGCAACUCGACUCCAUGAAGUCGGAAUCGCUAGUAAUCGUAGAUCAGAAUGCUACGGUGAAUACGUUCCCGGGCCUCGUACACACCGCCCGUCACACCAUGGGAGUGGGUUGCAAAAGAAGUAGGUAGCUUAACCUUCGGGAGGGCGCUUACCACUUUGUGAUUCAUGACUGGGGUGAAGU
Molecule: ribosomal RNA, 710 nt
Filed under: uncultured bacterium
Lineage: Bacteria
Description: bacterial SSU rRNA
Rfam family: Bacterial small subunit ribosomal RNA
Source: RNAcentral